CGGGNUCUUGACAUCGGAUGCAUAACUAAGAGAUUAGUGAAGUCCUUCGGGACAUCCAGACAGGUGGUGCAUGGUUGUCGUCAGCUCGUGUCGUGAGAUGUUGGGUUAAGUCCCGCAACGAGCGCAACCCUUAUAAUUAGUUGCUACGCAAGAGCACUCUAAUUAGACUGCCGUUGACAAAACGGAGGAAGGUGGGGAUGACGUCAAAUCAUCAUGCCCUUUAUGACCCGGGCUACACACGUACUACAAUGGUGUUUAACAAAGAGAAGCAAAGCCGCGAGGUAGAGCAAAUCUCAAAAAAACAUCUCAGUUCAGACUGCAGGCUGCAACUCGCCUGCACGAAGUCGGAAUUGCUAGUAAUCGUAGGUCAGCAUACUACGGUGAAUACGUUCCC
Molecule: ribosomal RNA, 394 nt
Filed under: uncultured bacterium
Lineage: Bacteria
Description: bacterial SSU rRNA
Rfam family: Bacterial small subunit ribosomal RNA
Source: RNAcentral